AUGGGAACGCGAAGAACCUUACCUAGACUUGACAUCUCCUGAAUAGUGUAGAGAUACAUGAAGCCCUUCGGGGCAGGAAGACAGGUGGUGCAUGGUUGUCGUCAGCUCGUGUCGUGAGAUGUUGGGUUAAGUCCCGCAACGAGCGCAACCCUUAUCAUUAGUUGCUACCAGUAAGAUGAGCACUCUAAUGAGACUGCCCGGGUUAACCGGGAGGAAGGCGGGGAUGACGUCAAAUCAUCAUGCCCCUUAUGUCUAGGGCUACACACGUGCUACAAUGGUGAGAACAACAAGAAGCGAAGCCGCGAGGCAGAGCAAAACUGAAAAACUCAUCUCAGUUCGGAUUGCAGGCUGAAACUCGCCUGCAUGAAGUUGGAGUUGCUAGUAAUCGCGAAUCAGAAUGUCGCGGUGAAUACGUUCCCGGGUCUUGUACACACCG
RNAcentral lists this ribosomal RNA (436 nucleotides) under uncultured bacterium. RNAcentral's name for it is "bacterial SSU rRNA". It matches the Rfam family "Bacterial small subunit ribosomal RNA", at positions 954 to 1392 of the family's 1533-position model. The record is from RNAcentral.